UCUCUCCUGUGCUCCUGCGAAAGCGUCCCUUCCAUUUGGCAACGUGCCCAGAGGAGUCUGCAAAGCUGCUAUUAAGGAAGGGUUGUGGAAGGAACUGGUCGAGGAAUGACGUGAGGCUUGAAGGACUGCCUGAGCUGGAGCUUGCAGCCAAACCUCUGUGCCCUGCAGCACCAGUUAGUCCAUCUCCCCAACUCUGGCUGAGUCCUGUCGAAACCUGUUUGUACUGGAGGCCUCCACAUUAUCUGGUGCCAAUGAGUUCCCCGGUUCAAUUACGUAUGUGAAACAGCACAAAAAUCUU
Molecule: long non-coding RNA, 298 nt
Organism: Manacus vitellinus (golden-collared manakin)
Lineage: Eukaryota; Metazoa; Chordata; Aves; Passeriformes; Pipridae
Exons: 3
Source: RefSeq, a predicted model, not a curated record